CUUUUGUUUUCUUUUGAUUUUGCUUUUGAUUUCUUUUGAUUUCUUUUGAUUGAUUUUUUUUUCUUGGAUUUUGCACCCUCCUCUUUCUCUUUUUUUUUCUCUUUUUUUUUUUAUAAUGCCCCAGUUGGCUGUUCUGCUGAUUCUCGAGAUGCAGCUGAGUGUGAUCUUCUUUUCUUGCUCAAGAAGUCGGGAAAUCUCGUCAGGAAUCCCUUCAAUCAUCAUCUUCUUCC
This 230-nucleotide long non-coding RNA is filed under the name Lathyrus oleraceus (garden pea). Its description in RNAcentral is "Pisum sativum (pea) long non-coding RNA (PSAT_LNC004663)". Lineage: Eukaryota; Viridiplantae; Streptophyta; Magnoliopsida; Fabales; Fabaceae. The record is from RNAcentral.